AACGCGAAGAACCUUACCAGGUCUUGACAUCCCGCUGACCGGUGUAGAGAUACGCCUUUCCCUUCGGGGACAGCGGUGACAGGUGGUGCAUGGUUGUCGUCAGCUCGUGUCGUGAGAUGUUGGGUUAAGUCCCGCAACGAGCGCAACCCUUGAUCUUAGUUGCCAGCAUUCAGUUGGGCACUCUAAGGUGACUGCCGGUGACAAACCGGAGGAAGGUGGGGAUGACGUCAAAUCAUCAUGCCCCUUAUGACCUGGGCUACACACGUGCUACAAUGGACGGUACAAAGGGCUGCGAACCCGCGAGGGGGAGCCAAUCCCAUAAAACCGUUCCCAGUUCGGAUUGCAGGCUGCAACUCGCCUGCAUGAAGCCGGAAUCGCUAGUAAUCGUGGAUCAGCAUGCCACGGUGAAUACGUUCCCGGGUCUUGUACACACCG
Molecule: ribosomal RNA, 435 nt
Filed under: uncultured bacterium
Lineage: Bacteria
Description: bacterial SSU rRNA
Rfam family: Bacterial small subunit ribosomal RNA
Source: RNAcentral